GAUGAAGAACGUAGCGAAAUGCGAUACUUGGUGUGAAUUGCAGAAUCCCGUGAACCAUCGAGUCUUUGAACGCAAGUUGCGCCCGAAGCCAUUAGGCCGAGGGCACGCCUGCCUGGGCGUCACACGUCGUUGCCCCCCCAUCUACUCCUUCGGGAUUGCGGGGGGCGGAUGAUGGCCUCCCGUGCGCCUCGUCGCGCGGUUGGCAUAAAUGCCAAAUCCUCGGCGACGCACGCCACGACAAUCGGUGGUUGCGAAACCUCGGUUGCCCGUCGUGUGCGGUCGUCGCGCAUCGAGGGCUCGAAAAAAUUGCCGGGCUCCGGCUCGGCUUUCAACGCGACCCCAGGUCAGGCGGGGUUACCCGCUGAAUUUAAGCAUAUCAAUAAGCGGAGGA
RNAcentral lists this unclassified non-coding RNA (391 nucleotides) under soil metagenome. Its description in RNAcentral is "partial contains 5.8S ribosomal RNA, internal transcribed spacer 2, and large subunit ribosomal RNA". The stretch from base 1 to 122 matches the Rfam family "5.8S ribosomal RNA", at positions 35 to 154 of the family's 154-position model. The record is from RNAcentral.